UCCUGGAAUUCAGGAACAAUGUUACAGAGGUCCCAUUCCAGGAGGCUUUUCAUAUAGAAGAUGAGUGGACACCAACUAGAGACACUGGAGCAAGGGCCCCACAGUGUGACAUUUGGUUGUCUCUUGAUGGGGGAGGGAAAGUGUGCUUUUGUGUACAAGUAUGAGAUAGGUGGAUUCUAUCAUGUGGAGGAUAUUGCUUCUCAGCCUUUUGGCUAAGAUCAAGUGUAGUAUCAUGAGGAGUUUUCUUCGAAAUUGUGGAUUUCCACUUAUGUAACUAGUGGUGCUAUUAUGUGCCCAGCACGAAGCAGCAACUGUUGUUCUUUAGCAACUCUUGGAAAGCCUAAGGGAUGAAGCAGAGCUCUAGCUCAACUGGGGAACUUUCAUAACUCCCAGGGAUGGAAACAGACUUGGAAGAAUACUCUAAUCCAGAGCAGAGGUAUAGAGGCAACCUCUGGAUGCUGUGCUGUGAACAGUUGACUCAGAUCCUAUGAUGAUUCCUGUCUACGUCCAUCAUGAAUGUUGCCCCAUCUUAUCAAACUGAGUUGAAUGGACAUUGCUGGCAGUAGCAACAACAAUAGGAAUAUUGUCAUACCUUUGCUUGCCAUGUUAAUCAACCAAGUUAAUGUGAUUUAUCUCUAACGUCCCAGGUUAAAUACCACUAUUUCCUGUAGUGUUUCCUGUCUUUCCGAGACAAAAUUGACACUCUUGAGUUUCCCAAAACACUUGUCACACACUCCCAUGUUUUGAUUUAAUAGGUCUAUAUUCUCUCCUAAACUGAGCUUUUUGAGAGCAACAACUAAGAUUUAUCUCUGAUUUUGCAGUACUUGCUGGCAAUUUAGGAACUAAAUUGUUGAAAUAUAUGUCUAAUACCAAGGAUGAUGCUAACAUAAGUGACAUC
This 898-nucleotide long non-coding RNA is filed under the name Homo sapiens (human). Its description in RNAcentral is "novel transcript". The stretch from base 193 to 363 matches the Rfam family "U2 spliceosomal RNA". Lineage: Eukaryota; Metazoa; Chordata; Mammalia; Primates; Hominidae. The record is from RNAcentral.